CUACGGGUGGCUGCAGGCGCGAAACCUUUACAAUGUACGUAAGUGCGAUAAGGGAACUCCCAGUGCUCAUGUUAUGCAUGGGCUUUUGCUAAGUGUAAAUAGCUUGGCGAAUAAGUGGUGGGUAAGACGGGUGCCAGCCGCCGCGGUAACACCUGCGCCACGAGUGGCAAUCAUAAUUAUUGGGCCUAAAGCGUCCGUAGCCGGACGUGUAAGUCUUGGGUGAAAUCGUUGCGCUUAACAAAACGACGUGCUUGAGAUACUACAUGUCUUGGAACCGGGAGGCGUUAAGGGUAUUUCUGAGGGACUGGUAAAAUGGUAUAAUCUCAGGAGGACCGCCUGUGGCGAAGGCGCUUAACGAGAACGGAUUCGACGGUGAGGGACGAAAGCUAGGGGAGCAAAACGGAUUAGAUACCCUCGUAGUC
Molecule: ribosomal RNA, 422 nt
Filed under: uncultured archaeon
Lineage: Archaea
Description: partial 16S ribosomal RNA
Rfam family: Archaeal small subunit ribosomal RNA
Source: RNAcentral